GACGAAUGCUGGCGGCGUGCUUAACACAUGCAAGUCGAACGGAAAGGCCCUGCUUUUGUGGGGUGCUCGAGUGGCGAACGGGUGAGUAACACGUGAGUAACCUGCCCUUGACUUUGGGAUAACUUCAGGAAACUGGGGCUAAUACCGGAUAGGAGCUCCUGCUGCAUGGUGGGGGUUGGAAAGUUUCGGCGGUUGGGGAUGGACUCGCGGCUUAUCAGCUUGUUGGUGGGGUAGUGGCUUACCAAGGCUUUGACGGGUAGCCGGCCUGAGAGGGUGACCGGCCACAUUGGGACUGAGAUACGGCCCAGACUCCUACGGGAGGCAGCAGUGGGGAAUAUUGCACAAUGGGCGGAAGCCCGAUGCAGCAACGCCGCGUGCGGGAUGACGGCCUUCGGGUUGUAAACCGCUUUCGCCUGUGACGAAGCGUGAGUGACGGUAAUGGGUAAAGAAGCACCGGCUAACUACGUGCCAGCAGCCGCGGUGAUACGUAGGGUGCGAGCGUUGUCCGGAUUUAUUGGGCGUAAAGGGCUCGUAGGUGGUUGAUCGCGUCGGAAGUGUAAUCUUGGGGCUUAACCCUGAGCGUGCUUUCGAUACGGGUUGACUUGAGGAAGGUAGGGGAGAAUGGAAUUCCUGGUGGAGCGGUGGAAUGCGCAGAUAUCAGGAGGAACACCAGUGGCGAAGGCGGUUCUCUGGGCCUUUCCUGACGCUGAGGAGCGAAAGCGUGGGGAGCGAACAGGCUUAGAUACCCUGGUAGUCCACGCUGUAAACGGUGGCUACUAGGUGUGGGGUCCAUUCCACGGGUUCCGUGCCGUAGCUAACGCUUUAAGUACCCCGCCUGGGGAGUACGGCCGCAAGGCUAAAACUCAAAGGAAUUGACGGGGCCCCGCACAAGCGGCGGAGCAUGCGGAUUAAUUCGAUGCAACGCGUAGAACCUUACCUGGGUUUGACAUGGAUCGGGAGUGCUCAGAGAUGGGUGUGCCUCUUUUGGGGUCGGUUCACAGGUGGUGCAUGCCUGUCGUCAGCUCGUGUCGUGAGAUGUUGGGUUAAGUCCCGCAACGAGCGCAACCCUUGUUCACUGUUGCCAGCACGUUAUGGUGGGGACUCAGUGGAGACCGCCGGGGUCAACUCGGAGGAAGGUGGGGAUGACGUCAAGUCAUCAUGCCCCUUAUGUCCAGGGCUUCACGCAUGCUACAAUGGCUGGUACAGAGAGUGGCGAGCCUGUGAGGGUGAGCGAAUCUCGGAAAGCCGGUCUCAGUUCGGAUUGGGGUCUGCAACUCGACCUCAUGAAGUCGGAGUCGCUAGUAAUCGCAGAUCAGCAACGCUGCGGUGAAUACGUUCCCGGG
This 1343-nucleotide ribosomal RNA is filed under the name uncultured bacterium. RNAcentral describes it as "16S ribosomal RNA". It matches the Rfam family "Bacterial small subunit ribosomal RNA", at positions 28 to 1378 of the family's 1533-position model. The record is from RNAcentral.